CCUACGGGUGGCAGCAGUGAGGAAUAUUGGUCAAUGGACGAGAGUCUGAACCAGCCAAGUAGCGUGAAGGAUGACUGCCCUAUGGGUUGUAAACUUCUUUUAUAUGGGAAUAAAAUGUUCCACGUGUGGGAUUUUGUAUGUACCAUAUGAAUAAGGAUCGGCUAACUCCGUGCCAGCAGCCGCGGUGAUACGGAGGAUCCGAGCGUUAUCCGGAUUUAUUGGGUUUAAAGGGAGCGUAGGUGGAUGGUUAAGUCAGUUGUGAAAGUUUGCGGCGCAACCGUAAAAGUGCAGUUGAAACUGGCAGUCUUGAGUACAGUAGAGGUGGGCGGAAUUCGUGGUGUAGCGGUGAAAUGCUUAGAUAUCACGAAGAACUCCGAGUGCGAAGGCAGUUCACUGGACUGCAACUGACACUGAGGCUCGAAAGUGUGGGUAUCAAACAGGAUUAGAUACCCUGGUAGUC
RNAcentral lists this ribosomal RNA (460 nucleotides) under uncultured bacterium. RNAcentral describes it as "partial 16S ribosomal RNA". It matches the Rfam family "Bacterial small subunit ribosomal RNA", at positions 338 to 795 of the family's 1533-position model. The record is from RNAcentral.